This 530-nucleotide ribosomal RNA is filed under the name uncultured Planctomycetota bacterium. RNAcentral's name for it is "bacterial SSU rRNA". It matches the Rfam family "Bacterial small subunit ribosomal RNA", at positions 387 to 932 of the family's 1533-position model. The record is from RNAcentral. Lineage: Bacteria; Pseudomonadati; Planctomycetota.
CGGAGCGACGCCGCGUGAUGGAUGAAGGCCCUCGGGUUGUAACAUCUGUCGUAGGGGAGGAAAUUUUGACCGAUCCUAGGAGGAAGCACAGGCUAAGUUCGUGCCAGCAGCCGCGGUAAUACGAACUGUGCAAACGUUAUUCGGAAUCACUGGGCUUAAAGGGUGCGUAGGCGGAUUUGUAGGUCAGAUGUGAAAGCCCACGGCUCAACCGUGGAAUUGCGUUUGAAACCACAAGUCUUGAGGAAGUCAGAGGUAUGCGGAACUGAUGGUGGAGCGGUGAAAUGUGUUGAUAUCAUCAGGAACACCGGUGGCGAAAGCGGCAUACUGGGACUUUUCUGACGCUGAGGCACGAAAGCUAGGGGAGCGAACGGGAUUAGAUACCCCGGUAGUCCUAGCUGUAAACGAUCUGUACUAGUCCGUGGGGACCCCCACAUCUUCUCGGACGUAGCGAAAGUGUUAAGUACAGCGCCUGGGGAGUAUGGUCGCAAGGCUGAAACUCAAAGGAAUUGACGGGGCCUUCACACAAAAGG